This is a non-coding RNA of Aegilops tauschii subsp. strangulata, 585 nucleotides long. The record is from RefSeq and is a predicted model, not a curated record. NCBI's taxonomy places the organism in Eukaryota, Viridiplantae, Streptophyta, Magnoliopsida, Poales, Poaceae.
GCUGGAGACGUACUGCUCGUCGGCCUUGGUGCCGUCCUCCUCCAUGGGCUGGUUGUCGGGCGUCAUGGGGAUGUGGACAUGGUAGUCCUGGAAGUCGACGCUGCUGAUCUCUGAGUCAAGGUCGUCGCGCGAGUAGCUGAUGAAGCGCCCAGACUCUGUUCGCCGCCCGAAGACCACCUGCGGCGCCGAUGUUGGCGCUGUCGGUGGCUUGCUGGGGCCGUGCGGCGGCACGCGGCUGGAGCCGCUGUUCUUGAGGAUUCCCUUGGACCCCAUGGCCUCCUCCAGGGCCCAAGUCGUGCAGUGAAAACCUAGUCAACCCCCCCAACACACGGUGGGUAGCUUCGCGCAACAAACGUCCAGGCUCGUGGUCAAAGCAUCAACCAAAUGCAUCGUGCUCGCUACUCCGACUCCUCACUGACAUCAUACACCCUGCAAUCCAACCGCCAAAUUCCACUCAUGGACAAAUACGUAGAAAAGAAGAUAUGUAUAAAUAGAUUCAUUUUUAUACGCUCUACAUGCAAAUCAUGCAAUUUCAUGCCUGUCAUGAUUCUUUUUUCUGGUGUCUACAUUAUUUUUCCUGUGCCA